CCCUUAGAUGUUCUGGGCCGCACGCGCGCUACACUGAUGAAUUCAACGAGCACUAACCUGUGCCGAAAGGUUCGGGUAAUCUUGUGAAAUUUCAUCGUGAUGGGGAUUGAUUAUUGCAAUUUUUAAUCAUAAACGAGGAAUGCCUAGUAAGCGUGAGUCAUCAGCUCACGUUGAUUACGUCCCUGCUCUUUGUACACACCGCCCGUCGCUCCUACCGAUUGAAUGUGCCAGUGAAAAGUUAGGAUUGGGCGUGGGGGACGGCAACGUAUUCCACAUCCGAGAAAAUCUUUAAACUUUCCCAUUUAGAGGAAGGAGAAGUCGUAACA
Molecule: ribosomal RNA, 326 nt
Filed under: uncultured eukaryote
Lineage: Eukaryota
Description: partial 18S ribosomal RNA
Rfam family: Eukaryotic small subunit ribosomal RNA
Source: RNAcentral